UACGGGGGGGGCAAGCGCUGUUCGGAAUUACUGGGCGUAAAGGGCUCGUAGGUGGCCAACUAAGUCAGACGUGAAAUCCCUCGGCUUAACUGGGGAACUGCGUCUGAUACUGGUUGGCUUGAGUGCAGGAGAGGAACGCGGAAUUCCAGGUGUAGCGGUGAAAUGCGUAGAUAUCGGGAGGAACACCAGUGGCGAAGGCGACUACCUGGCCUGUUCUUGACGCUGAGGCGCGAAAGCUAGGGGAGCAAACGGG
Molecule: ribosomal RNA, 253 nt
Filed under: uncultured bacterium
Lineage: Bacteria
Description: partial 16S ribosomal RNA
Rfam family: Bacterial small subunit ribosomal RNA
Source: RNAcentral